GUGAAAUUGUUGAAAGGGAAGCGCUUGCUAUCAGAAUUGGGUUCAGUCGAUCAGCGUUCUUUCUAGUUCGUGCACUCGAUUGUUUCCUUGUCAGUACCAGUUACAGCGGCAUGAUAAAGAUGGCGGGAGUGUGGCUCCCUUCGGAGAGUGUUAUAGCCCGCUAUGUCAUGAUGCCUGCAGUGACUGAGGACCACGCUUUUGCAAGGGUACUGACUUAAUGGUUGUAAGCGGCCCGUCUUGAAACACGGACCAAGGAGUC
This 259-nucleotide ribosomal RNA is filed under the name uncultured fungus. Its description in RNAcentral is "partial 28S ribosomal RNA". It matches the Rfam family "Eukaryotic large subunit ribosomal RNA", at positions 399 to 675 of the family's 3401-position model. Lineage: Eukaryota; Fungi. The record is from RNAcentral.